Molecule: unclassified non-coding RNA, 253 nt
Filed under: uncultured Caryophanaceae bacterium
Lineage: Bacteria; Bacillati; Bacillota; Bacilli; Caryophanales; Caryophanaceae
Description: uncultured Planococcaceae bacterium contains 16S-23S intergenic spacer region
Rfam family: Bacterial small subunit ribosomal RNA
Source: RNAcentral
UACGUAGGUGGCAAGCGUUGUCCGGAAUUAUUGGGCGUAGAGCGCGCGCAGGCGGUCCUUUAAGUCUGAUGUGAAAGCCCACGGCUCAACCGUGGAGGGUCAUUGGAAACUGGAGGACUUGAGUACAGAAGAGGAAAGCGGAAUUCCACGUGUAGCGGUGAAAUGCGUAGAGAUGUGGAGGAAUACCAGUGGCGAGGGCGGCUUUCUGGUCUGUAACUGACGCUGAGGAGCGAAAGCAUGAGUAGCAAACAGG